AGCCUUCUCUAUCUGUGCUGAGAUUUCGUCACACCACCAGGCCACAGGGGCUGAUGAGACUUCCAAGAUAAGUGAACUG
Molecule: microRNA precursor, 79 nt
Filed under: Schistosoma margrebowiei
Lineage: Eukaryota; Metazoa; Platyhelminthes; Trematoda; Strigeidida; Schistosomatidae
Description: mir-3492 microRNA precursor family
Rfam family: mir-3492 microRNA precursor family
Source: Rfam by way of RNAcentral